Non-coding RNA from Coffea arabica (coffee), 359 nucleotides. NCBI's taxonomy places the organism in Eukaryota, Viridiplantae, Streptophyta, Magnoliopsida, Gentianales, Rubiaceae. The record is from RefSeq and is a predicted model, not a curated record.
CUUCACUGAACUCGAAAGCCAUAGAGAUGGUGAAGAUUUCUCCGAUGAAGAUGAAGAGGAGGAAAAUCAAGUUGAUGAACUUCAAAAUGCCAAACUUGAGCCUAAUGUUGGCCCGAAGUCUGCUACGAAUAAGGCUCUUCCUGCUGAGCCCAAGCCCUUGGAAAAGUCAAUAUUGAAGAAGGUGGAGCUAAAGAAAGACAAGACAGAAUCAAAUUGAAGAUGAUGAUGACAGUGAUGUUAGUGAAGAUGAUGAUGAAGGAGAGGAAAUUAGUGAGAUGGAAGAGGAUUCAAGUGAUGCCUCAGCAGAUACAGACUCAGAAGACAGCGACGAUGAGAAUCAAGAUAUGGUAUCUCAAAAG